CCUACGGGAGGCAGCAGUGGGGAAUCUUGGACAAUGGGCGCAAGCCUGAUCCAGCAAUGCCGCGUGGGUGAAGAAGGCCUUCGGGUUGUAAAGCCCUUUCGGCGGGGAAGAAAUCGGUCAGGCGAAUAGUCUGGCCGGAUGACGGUACCCGCAGAAGAAGCACCGGCUAACUACGUGCCAGCAGCCGCGGUAAU
This 194-nucleotide ribosomal RNA is filed under the name uncultured bacterium. Its description in RNAcentral is "partial 16S ribosomal RNA". It matches the Rfam family "Bacterial small subunit ribosomal RNA", at positions 338 to 524 of the family's 1533-position model. The record is from RNAcentral.